This 231-nucleotide ribosomal RNA is filed under the name uncultured bacterium. RNAcentral's name for it is "partial 16S ribosomal RNA". It matches the Rfam family "Bacterial small subunit ribosomal RNA", at positions 524 to 754 of the family's 1533-position model. The record is from RNAcentral.
GACGGAGGAUGCAAGUGUUAUCCGGAAUCACUGGGCGUAAAGCGUCUGUAGGUGGUUUAAUAAGUCAACUGUUAAAUCUUGAGGCUCAACCUCAAAAUCGCAGUCGAAACUAUUAGGCUAGAGUAUAGUAGGGGUAAAGGGAAUUUCCAGUGGAGCGGUGAAAUGCGUAGAGAUUGGAAAGAACACCGAUGGCGAAGGCACUUUACUGGGCUAUUACUAACACUCAGAGAC